CCGGGUGAGUAACACGUAUCCAACCUGCCGUCUACUCUUGGCCAGCCUUCUGAAAGGAAGAUUAAUCCAGGAUGGCAUCAUGAGUUCACAUGUCCGCAUGAUUAAAGGUAUUUUCCGGUAGACGAUGGGGAUGCGUUCCAUUAGAUAGUAGGCGGGGUAACGGCCCACCUAGUCAACGAUGGAUAGGGGUUCUGAGAGGAAGGUCCCCCACAUUGGAACUGAGACACGGUCCAA
RNAcentral lists this ribosomal RNA (234 nucleotides) under uncultured bacterium. RNAcentral's name for it is "partial 16S ribosomal RNA". It matches the Rfam family "Bacterial small subunit ribosomal RNA", at positions 103 to 334 of the family's 1533-position model. The record is from RNAcentral.